Molecule: RNA transcript, 3297 nt
Organism: Bombus pyrosoma
Lineage: Eukaryota; Metazoa; Arthropoda; Insecta; Hymenoptera; Apidae
Gene name: RING finger protein 121
Exons: 9
Source: RefSeq, a predicted model, not a curated record
ACAGUACUUUACAAUGUCUCCAAAGAGUUUUUGCUAUUGUUGUAUUAUGUCAAUUUAUUAAGACCUACUUUAUAAGUGGUAGCGUAAUAUAACCUUAACUAUGCAUUCACACGUAAUCCCAAAUAAGAGUGAAGAUGAGAUGACAGUAGAAGAGAAAUGGAUGGUGCAACAUGUAAAAAUGCACGAACAACAUAAAGGGCAUGAAGAAAUGCAUGUAGAAAUGCUGCUUAUUUUAUUUGGAACUUUGUUAGUAGCACAAAUUAUAUUAGUUGAAUGGAAGAAAAUACACUAUAAGUCAUAUCAGUUUGUUACUUUAAUUGCUAUGUGGAUAAUUCCAUUUGGAUUAAGUUUAAAAAAUCAUUGGUGGAGAUUUAUAUUUCUCUGGUUAGUAACGUCUUGCAUAACAGGAUUAGUGGUAAGGAAGGCUGUUCAAAAACCUAUAGCAGGUACAACACCAAGAUUGGUGUAUAAAUGGUUUCUUUUUAUUUAUAAAUUAAGUUAUAUGUUGGGCAUAAUAAGUUAUGUUAUAAUGUUAGCCACAUUUUUUGGUUUACAUCUUGUAUUUGAGGUUAAGCCACAAAUAUGGAUGGAUUGUGGUUUACUUUUGUUAUUUUAUGGUCUUUAUUUUGGAGUAUUAGGAAGAGAUGUUGCAGAAAUAUGUGCAGAUAAAAUGGCAUCACAUAUCGGGUAUUAUGUACCAGGCCAUAUGCCAACAAGAACUUUAGAACCUGGUGUGUGUGCAGUAUGUGGAAAUAGACUUUUAGUGUCAGAAAAUGAACCUGGUGUUAUUGAAAACACAUACAAACUUAGUUGUGAACACGUGUUUCACGAAUUUUGUAUCAGAGGAUGGUGCAUUGUAGGAAAAAAACAAACAUGUCCAUAUUGUAAAGAAAAAGUUGAUCUCAAGAAAAUGUUUUACAAUCCAUGGGAACGACCUCAUGUUUUGUAUGGUCAACUACUAGACUGGAUCAGGUGGUUAGUUGCUUGGCAACCAUUAAUUUUGUUUCUCGUUCAAGGUAUCAAUUGGGGCCUAGGCCUCGAGUAAGUAGUAUUGUAAUAGGAUAAUUAAAUUGCACUUUGAAAACCGUUAAGUUUCUGUGAAAGUAAUGAUUUAUUCUUGUAAACAAGUAUCUGUUUGUAUUUUUCUACAAAUGGUUGCUAUUAUAUUUGUUAUUUAUAACAACGAAUUCUAUUAAAAGGAUAUAAUUCCAGUCCAACUUGUGAUUAAAAUUUUAAUCCAAUUUCAAUACCAAUAUUGCAUUCAGGUUGCAGCGUUAUAAAUAACUUAUUUUAUAUGGUUAGGAUGUUUGCCACUGUAGAUGAUAUAACAUUAUAAAAUGCUAUCUCUUCUAUACUGACAAAUUUACGCACCAUUUAUGUAGCACUAAAUAAUAGUUCUUCCAUAGAACAUCCUUUUUUGCAAUGUAUAUGAACAUUUUCAAAUUCUUAUUUAACAAAUGUGUGGCAAUUACUAAAUAAUGUAUUUUAAUUUAAAUAUGUGAAAUGCAUAUGAACCAUGGUUAUCCGAAUUAACUUUAAUAUAGCGGAAACGUAACAAAUAAUCUAAUAUUUUCUAUAAUAAGAAAGAGAUGCUGACAAUAGAGAAGAUCCUACUCUCAUUUUGUACUUUAGAAUUGAAAUAUACAGUAUGAAAAAUUAGAUAUAGCGUGUGGAUCCUUUACCUUGGAAGAAGUUCAAUUCGGAUAAUCUUGAAAUAUUUUAUUGUAUAAUACGUGUAGAAAUAUUCUGAAUUGAUGUGAGAAUGAUAAGAAUUUACCUUAUCAUUUCUUUUAUCAUUCCACUUCCUUAUUCAAGCUAGUCAAUCUAAGUUUUCAUUUUACACAAUCAAAUUGUGUUUCAUGCGGUACACGUAAUUCAAAUAAUUCUUUCUAAAGAUGUGCACUAACUAUAUUCUGCAUAUUAAUGAAAUCUUUUGACAGUAACAACAUUAUUUUGUAAAUUUUAAGCUUAUAAAGUUGUUACGUAUACUAGAAAAUAUUAAGAUAUUUCAUAAGAAAAUUGCUUUGGUAAUUAUAUUCGAAUAAGCUUCGUUAUGCCAAAGAAGGGAAAUUUUACUUAAUAUAUUCUGGAUUCAGAGAAGUAGGUUAUUAAAAAAUAUCCAAUAUAAUAUUUCUUAAAGCAAAAAGAAAAUCGUGGCUAGCAGUAGAAUUAAAUUAUUUGUGAUAUUUCUAUAAGUAUUAUUUCGCAUAUAUGCAUUUUUUAUCCUGUAAAUUAUUAUUUCCACUGAUAAAGUGAUUUGAUUGUCGAAUGUUUCAUGCAUAAAAGAAAAGAAAAGGUAGUGAAAUAGACUAAAUGGAAUAAAUCAUUUUUUAAUUUUAAUAGAUUCAUAACUACGACUUGUGCAUACUAUAUAUUUAUAAAUCGAAAUUUUUAUAAAUCUUUGGAACAAAAAUUUUUUAUGGUUGUCGAACUUGUUACCAUGAUAAAUCAGGUUGCUCAACUACAACAGAAAUUUUAAUUUUAUGAGAAGUUGACUGCCGGAAGAUACAGACAACGGAAAUGUGAAUACGACGAAACUAGGGAUCGAUAUACGUUAAAAUACUGUAAUUCCUCAUCGGGAUGCAUCGUUACACGAGAUGUAAAAGUGGAGGAUAAAAAUCUCGUUGGAUACGCAUUUAGAAUCGAAUUUACGGGCUUGUACGAAAGAGAGAGAAAUAAAUAAUGAGAACUCUGUCAAUGAUGUUACUAAAAGUCUUUAAUCAAUCUCUCAUCAUUACUCGUUUAGCAAAAAACAACUUUUUAUCACAUCACGCAUUCGUAGGUACUAUUUUCGGACUUGUAGCGAGAGCAUCGGAUGAUACAUUUGAAGAUCACAGGAGGAGAACCUGAUAAAAUACAUUUUUGUUGACUUUCUUAUUUUGAUGUCGUUUUAUGACUAAAAAGUAAUAUUUUCAUAUUACAUUUUUGGUCCUGUUAGGAUCAAAGAUUAUGGUUUUUUAAAUGCAGCUAAUAUUAUGUCAAAGUUUACUAAAAAAUUAUUACCAAGGAAUAUUUUAAUAUCCUCGAUAUUUUAACAUUAUGACAGAGGAUAUGUUGAAAAUUACGCAGAGGAUGUAAAAACGAAAUAGAAAGAUAAUUUUGGUAACAUCGGAUUGAUUGACAAUGUAUAUAUGAAAGUUAAAAACUGCUUUCCUACGAAAAAUGGAAAAUGUAACUUAUCAUUGUCUUUCCCCUGUACUCUUCAUUUAUAAUGUAUGAUGUAUAUAGAAAUAUUUAUUUAUACACUUAAAUCUAAAAACCUCUCGCUAUUGUCAUGGGGAAGAAAUUGUACGACAG